This 84-nucleotide transfer RNA is filed under the name Pseudomonadota bacterium. RNAcentral's name for it is "Proteobacteria bacterium (marine sediment metagenome) tRNA-Leu". It matches the Rfam family "tRNA". From Rfam's summary of the family: Transfer RNA (tRNA) molecules are approximately 80 nucleotides in length. Their secondary structure includes four short double-helical elements and three loops (D, anti-codon, and T loops). Further hydrogen bonds mediate the characteristic L-shaped molecular structure. tRNAs have two regions of fundamental functional importance: the anti-codon, which is responsible for specific mRNA codon recognition, and the 3' end, to which the tRNAs corresponding amino acid is attached (by aminoacyl-tRNA synthetases). tRNAs cope with the degeneracy of the genetic code in two manners: having more than one tRNA (with a specific anti-codon) for a particular amino acid; and 'wobble' base-pairing, i.e. permitting non-standard base-pairing at the 3rd anti-codon position. The record is from RNAcentral. Lineage: Bacteria; Pseudomonadati; Pseudomonadota.
GCCGAAGUGGUGGAACUGGUAGACACGCCAUCUUGAGGGGGUGGUGGGUGAAAGCCUGUGGGGGUUCGAGUCCCCCCUUCGGCA